CCUACGGGUGGCAGCAGUGAGGAAUAUUGGUCAAUGGACGAGAGUCUGAACCAGCCAAGUAGCGUGAAGGAUGACUGCCCUAUGGGUUGUAAACUUCUUUUAUAUGGGAAUAAAAUGUUCCACGUGUGGGAUUUUGUAUGUACCAUAUGAAUAAGGAUCGGCUAACUCCGUGCCAGCAGCCGCGGUAAUACGGAGGAUCCGAGCGUUAUCCGGAUUUAUUGGGUUUAAAGGGUGCGUAGGUGGAUUGUUAAGUCAGUUGUGAAAGUUUGCGGCUCAACCGUAAAAUUGCAGUUGAAACUGGCAGUCUUGAGUACGGUAGAGGUGUGCGGAAUUCGUGGUGUAGCGGUGAAAUGCUUAGAUAUCACGAAGAACUCCGAUUGCGAAGGCAGUUCACUGGACUGCAACUGACACUGAGGCUCGAAAGUGUGGGUAUCAAACAGGAUUAGAUACCCUAGUAGUC
This 460-nucleotide ribosomal RNA is filed under the name uncultured bacterium. RNAcentral's name for it is "partial 16S ribosomal RNA". It matches the Rfam family "Bacterial small subunit ribosomal RNA", at positions 338 to 795 of the family's 1533-position model. The record is from RNAcentral.